UUUUCAUUCACUGUAGUGGUGAAAAUAUAAACAGGGUGGUCAGGCAAUCCCAUGCAGGGUUAUCCAAUUUUCACCAAUUCUCACAGCGUUUACUAUUGCCAGUCAUGAUCCUACCAACUAAACUAUUUGAAUUUGGUCACUAACCCAACCAAGCCAGACAGCCAUAUUUUACCAUCAUCCGCAUCCACCAAGCAAUAUACAAACUCUACAAAAGGUUAUUGCCUAAGGCUGCUAUUGAACUUCCUUCCUACCUGUCAGCUGCUUCCCAAGAAGUUGGGAUGGCCAUGAAUCUGCAGGUGUUGGAUAUCUAGCAUGUGGUUUACUCACAUUUGAGGUAGUCACUGGAUAAGCUUGGAGUUCAGGAUGGAGGGGGACAACAAAGACGGCUUGUGCUUGCUGCAAGGUAGCAUCUGCUGCAGGCAACCUGAGAGACUCUCCUGGAAAAUGUUGUGUCAAUUCGGGAUGGUCAAACUCGGGAGGAGGCACAUUCAGGUCAG
RNAcentral lists this unclassified non-coding RNA (497 nucleotides) under Hevea brasiliensis (rubber tree). The record is from RNAcentral. Lineage: Eukaryota; Viridiplantae; Streptophyta; Magnoliopsida; Malpighiales; Euphorbiaceae.